AGAGUUUGAUCAUGGCUCAGGACGAACGCUGGCAGCGUGCUUAACACAUGCAAGUCGAACGGUAAGGCCUUUCGGGGUACACGAGUGGCGAACGGGUGAGUAACACGUGGGUGAUCUGCCCUGCACUUCGGGAUAAGCCUGGGAAACUGGGUCUAAUACCGGAUAUGACUACGAAUCGCAUGGUUUGUGGUGGAAAGCUUUUGCGGUGUGGGAUGGGCCCGCGGCCUAUCAGCUUGUUGGUGGGGUGAUGGCCUACCAAGGCGACGACGGGUAGCCGGCCUGAGAGGGUGUCCGGCCACACUGGGACUGAGACACGGUCCAGACUCCUACGGGAGGCAGCAGUGGGGAAUAUUGCACAAUGGGCGCAAGCCUGAUGCAGCGACGCCGCGUGAGGGAUGACGGCCUUCGGGUUGUAAACCUCUUUCAGUAUCGACGAAGCGCAAGUGACGGUAGGUACAGAAGAAGGACCGGCCAACUACGUGCCAGCAGCCGCGGUAAUACGUAGGGUCCGAGCGUUGUCCGGAAUUACUGGGCGUAAAGAGCUCGUAGGUGGUUUGUCGCGUUGUUCGUGAAAACUCACAGCUCAACUGUGGGCGUGCGGGCGAUACGGGCAGACUGGAGUACUGCAGGGGAGACUGGAAUUCCUGGUGUAGCGGUGGAAUGCGCAGAUAUCAGGAGGAACACCGGUGGCGAAGGCGGGUCUCUGGGCAGUAACUGACGCUGAGGAGCGAAAGCGUGGGGAGCGAACAGGAUUAGAUACCCUAGUAGUCC
Molecule: ribosomal RNA, 771 nt
Filed under: uncultured bacterium
Lineage: Bacteria
Description: bacterial SSU rRNA
Rfam family: Bacterial small subunit ribosomal RNA
Source: RNAcentral